AUGGCGGAUGGUGAUGGACCUUGGUAUGACGGAUUAAUCGAUGAGUGGGAUAAGGAGCAUCAUGCUCGUGCCAUUGAGAACGGACAUCUUGUAGUUGCUAUGCGCAUGAGGGGACAUUCGGCUGAUGACUUUACUUAUGACCCGCGGUACGAGCCUUAUAUUCGGAGAUUGGGUCUUCUCCCAUUCGUGUUGCAGUUUAAGCGACGCGCUCUGCCGGUGAACCACGCGGCGCUGACCGCACUUGUGGAUCGUUGGAGGCUGGAGACUCACUCGUUCCACCUUCCAUUUGGGGAGAUGACGAUGACCCUUGAGGACAUGGCUAUGAUAAGCGGCCUUCCUAUCAACGGACAAGCUGUUACCGGUCGUGUCAGUGCCGUUAAUUGGCGAGAACGGACUGGCAUUUUAAUUGGUGUUCAGCCCGACGCCCCUGAGGAAGGCAAGGCCGAUACCGCGAGAGUGAGGCAUUCUUGGCUAAAAGCGGUUAGAGGAAACACCAAUCUGUGUCCUCAGGGUGCUAAUGACGUGGUUGUGCAGCAGUACGCGCGGGCCUAUCUUUGGUAUGUGCUAACCAAGGUAGUCUUCUCAGAUGCAACCGGGAACUCGGCCCUCUGGAUGUUCCUGGAGCUACUCAAUAACUGGGAUACCCAGUAUAGCCGGGGUUUGGCUGCACUAGCAUAUUUGUAUCGUCAGCUUGACUUGGCGUGUCGCAGGAAGGGAGAUACAUCCUCAUUGUCUGGGUUUGUUUGGAGCCUAUCCGUGUGGAUGUGGGAGCAGAUCCCGGUUGGACGGCCCGAUAUCAAGGACCCCAACAUGGCAAACCCACGGGGUAAUCCAGACGGGCUGCAUGAUGAUGAUCCAUAUCGACGCCCUACGCUUGCUUACUAUUGGGAACAAGUGACAGUGUACACAUGA
This 912-nucleotide ribosomal RNA is filed under the name Triticum aestivum (bread wheat). RNAcentral's name for it is "partial small subunit ribosomal RNA". The record is from RNAcentral. Lineage: Eukaryota; Viridiplantae; Streptophyta; Magnoliopsida; Poales; Poaceae.